UUUCAGAAGGAGCCAAAGAAGAGAGGAUCUCUGUAAUAGACAAUGGAAAAGAAGAGAGGAUCUCUGUCGGAGACAAUGGAUCGUGGAAUUCCAUACAAGCGACAAAUUAAUGUUGAAAAACGUCUAUAGUUUACCAAAUAAAAGAGAAUGGAGUAAUAAAGCAAUCUUUCCUUCAGACAUAAGCAGAAAGAGAAACCUAGGUUAUCAAAUUGAAAAAAUGAUAAUGAACGAUAUAAAUAAAAGGGGGAAAACCUUAUGGUAUGGUAUAUGAAGAUAACUUUACCUGGAAAUUUAGAAUUUCAAUCCAUUUUCUCUGAAUUCCUGAGCUUAACAAAUUCACUGCACAGCCAUCACAAAACGGUUUUCACUACUCGAAAAUGAUGAAUCAAAUUAUGAGAGAGAAAUUAAUACUAUUGCAGGUUAUUCUAAGAAGGAAAGAGACCGAGGAAUUGAUGAUGAAAAGUGAGAACACACGCAAACACGUAGAAAGAAUAAUUAGCUCUUUGACUUUGGUGUAAAAGAGUAGCGGUGCUGCUAGGACAAGGGGAAUUACCUAGAGAACUAGAGGUUAUAGAAGCUGCAUAUGUGUAUCUAGACACGGUGUUGGGCUCAAGGAUCACUAUGAAGGAGGGUACUGCAAUUCACCAGAUUUUGAUCCAAUGGAAUAAUACAUCUAUUGAUGUUGUAACUUGGGAGUACAAUGACUUUCUGUGUGGUCAGUUUCCUGAAUUUGGACUUGAAGACAUGUCUGUUCUUGAUAGAAACGUGGAUGGUAGAGUGUGUCGUGACUUGUUACUAUAAAUAGGGAAGAAAAAGAGAGAAUAAUUAUAUGGGUUUGUUACUAUAAUUAAUGAGUUUGUUACUAUAAAAUAGAGAAGGAAGUGAGAGAAUAAUUUGAUCUUUUUGUGACUAUAAAAUAAGAAAGAAAGCGAAGGAAUAAGGUAUUUAGGCAUUCUAUUUGGAUUAAAGAUCACCAUCUUUGUGAGGCAAACACUACGUGCUUAGGGGCUGAUAACUAUCCACUAUCAGUUUGUUAUUUUCAUUGUCGCUAUUUCUUUGUAAUUUUUCAUCCAUAAUAAUACAAUUACAAAAUUCUUUUA
This is a long non-coding RNA of Vicia villosa (hairy vetch), 1100 nucleotides long. RefSeq lists it as uncharacterized. NCBI's taxonomy places the organism in Eukaryota, Viridiplantae, Streptophyta, Magnoliopsida, Fabales, Fabaceae. The record is from RefSeq and is a predicted model, not a curated record. The transcript has 3 exons.